UCCUCUUUUAGCACCUACAAUCAUCAUAACAUACCUAUAAACCGGUCCACUUUUUUAAUUCAAUCCAUAAUAUAGCACUUAUGGACCGGUCCAUAUAAAAAUCCACACAGGAAUCAGGACAUGCCCAAAUCAACUGAGACAACCUAAUCUUAUUCUAUCCAUUCCAUAUGCUACUUGCGCCAACAGUUUGACUCACAUUACUAAUUUUGUCAAUAGUGUAUGACAAUGGAAUCUAUCUUUAGAUGGUUGAGAAGGAUUAUGGUGAACUGGUGUUAUUUGGGCAAAGAAUAGGGCAAAGACAGCACAUUUUGCUAUAGUGAAAAUAAUCUAACAAACCAAUGGCAUCUUCCACUCUUUUUUUGAGUCACAAGGGUCACAUCAAGGAUGGUGAAGGAGACAAUCACCACUUGAUGAGUAAGAGGAAC
This 425-nucleotide long non-coding RNA is filed under the name Solanum tuberosum (potato). RNAcentral describes it as "long non-coding RNA (STUB_LNC011026)". Lineage: Eukaryota; Viridiplantae; Streptophyta; Magnoliopsida; Solanales; Solanaceae. The record is from RNAcentral.